This 460-nucleotide ribosomal RNA is filed under the name uncultured bacterium. RNAcentral's name for it is "partial 16S ribosomal RNA". It matches the Rfam family "Bacterial small subunit ribosomal RNA", at positions 338 to 795 of the family's 1533-position model. The record is from RNAcentral.
CCUACGGGAGGCAGCAGUGAGGAAUAUUGGUCAAUGGCCGUAAGGCUGAACCAGCCAAGUCGCGUGAAGGAAGAAGGCUCUAUGGGUUGUAAACUUCUUUUAUAGGGGAAUAAAGGUAUCCACGUGUGGAUAUUUGCAUGUACCCUAUGAAUAAGGAUCGGCUAACUCCGUGCCAGCAGCCGCGGUAAUACGGAGGAUUCGAGCGUUAUCCGGAUUUAUUGGGUUUAAAGGGUGCGUAGGUGGUUUUUUAAGUCAGUGGUGAAAGUUUGUGGCUCAACCAUAAAAUUGCCGUUGAAACUGGCAGACUUGAGUGUAUUUGAGGUAGGCGGAAUGCGUGGUGUAGCGGUGAAAUGCAUAGAUAUCACGCAGAACUCCGAUUGCGAAGGCAGCUUACUAAGCUAUAACUGACACUGAUGCACGAAAGCGUGGGGAUCAAACAGGAUUAGAUACCCUUGUAGUC